GGAUAACCUGCCCAAGGGUCCGGGAUAACCCCGGGAAACUGGGGAUAAUACCGGAUGGAUCACUAGUGCUGGAAUGCUUGGUGGUCGAAAGGUAACGCCCUUGGAUGGGUCUGCGGCGGAUUAGGUUGACGCCGGUGUAACGUACCGGCGUGCCUGUAAUCCGUACGGGUUGUGGGAGCAAGAGCCCGGAGAUGGAUUCUGAGACACGAAUCCAGGCCCUACGGGGCGCAGCAGGCGCGAAAACUCUACAAUGCAGGCAACUGCGAUAGGGGGACAUCGAGUGGCAUCCACCUUGGGUGCCUGUCCAACCGUCUAAAAAACGGUUGUUAGCAAGGGCCGGGUAAGACCGGUGCCAGCCGCCGCGGUAAUACCGGCGGCUCGAGUGGUGGCCGAUAUUAUUGAGUCUAAAGGGUCCGUAGCCGGCUUUGCAAGUCCCCUGGGAAAUCCAGCGGCUUAACCGUUGGGCUUUCAUGGGAUACUACAUUGCUUGGGACUGGGAGAGGUAGGAGGUACUCGAGGGGUAGGGGUGAAAUCCUGUAAUCCUUCGGGGACCACCGGUGGCGAAGGCGUCCUACCAGAACAGGUCCGACGGUGAGGGACGAAAGCUAGGGGCACGAACCGGAUUAGAUACCCGGGUAGUCCUAGCCGUAAACGAUGCCCGCUAGGUGUCACGACGGUCGUGAAUCGUCGUGGUGCCGUAGGGAAGCCGCGAAGCGGGCCACUUGGGAAGUACGACCGCAAGGUUGAAACUUAA
Molecule: ribosomal RNA, 754 nt
Filed under: uncultured archaeon
Lineage: Archaea
Description: bacterial SSU rRNA
Rfam family: Archaeal small subunit ribosomal RNA
Source: RNAcentral